This 404-nucleotide ribosomal RNA is filed under the name uncultured bacterium. RNAcentral's name for it is "bacterial SSU rRNA". It matches the Rfam family "Bacterial small subunit ribosomal RNA", at positions 362 to 758 of the family's 1533-position model. The record is from RNAcentral.
UUUUGGACAAUGAGGGCAACCCUGAUCCAGCCAUGCCGCGUGAGUGAAGAAGGCCUUCGGGUUGUAAAGCUCUCUCGGACGGAACGAAAUGGGCGGGACUAAUACUCCUGUCUGAUGACGGUACCGUAAGAAGAAGCACCGGCUAACUACGUGCCAGCAGCCGCGGUAAUACGUAGGGUGCGAGCGUUAAUCGGAAUUACUGGGCGUAAAGCGUGCGCAGGCGGUUUCGUAAGCUGGAGGUGAAAUCCCCGGGCUUAACCUGGGAAUGGCCUUCAGGACUGCGAGGCUAGAGUGCGGCAGAGGGAGGUGGAAUUCCACGUGUAGCAGUGAAAUGCGUAGAGAUGUGGAGGAACACCGAUGGCGAAGGCAGCCUCCUGGGCCAGCACUGACGCUCAUGCACGAAA